Molecule: long non-coding RNA, 441 nt
Organism: Oreochromis niloticus (Nile tilapia)
Lineage: Eukaryota; Metazoa; Chordata; Actinopteri; Cichliformes; Cichlidae
Exons: 2
Source: RefSeq, a predicted model, not a curated record
AACCAUAUUAAUACUAUAAAUAUCAUAUGCAUUAAUAUGGUUAAACAAUACAAAAGCAACAUAAAACAAUUUUCCCGAGAAAAGGGGUGAAUCUGCUUUGUGCCCUGUCUCCAGUCUCCUCCUGGUGCCCCCCCCUCCCUCCCCCCUCCCAGUGGUCUGUUCUAUAAUGCCUCAAUUCGGUAUUGGUAAACACCUGUUUGAACAUGGCCUCGAAACGGCAACAGGAGUCGGGAGCGGAGAAAAGAAAGAAGAAGAGGAAGCGUGAUGAAACUCAGGCGUCGCUUGCCGGGUCAAUGCUUAAAUAUGUUCAAGGAGGAUCUCAAGGACAGGAUGAACCAUCCAGUAGUAGUGCCAUCCCUGGACAUCAACCACCAGCCAUUGUAGACCCUGCAACAAUCCCUAGCCAAGAAGAACAAGAACCAUCAACCACCAGUUCAGGUA